UACAGAGGGUGCAAGCGUUAAUCGGAAUUACUGGGCGUAAAGCGCGCGUAGGUGGUUUGUUAAGUUGGAUGUGAAAUCCCCUGGCUCAACCUGGGAACUGCAUUCAAAACUGACAAGCUAGAGUAUGGUAGAGGGUGGUGGAAUUUCCUGUGUAGCGGUGACAUGCGUAGAUAUGUGGAGGAACAUCAGUGGCGAAGGCGGCUUCCUGGCUUAACACUGACACUGUGGCGCGAAAGCGUGGGUAGCAAUCAGG
Molecule: ribosomal RNA, 253 nt
Filed under: uncultured bacterium
Lineage: Bacteria
Description: partial 16S ribosomal RNA
Rfam family: Bacterial small subunit ribosomal RNA
Source: RNAcentral